Molecule: ribosomal RNA, 410 nt
Filed under: Bacteroidota bacterium
Lineage: Bacteria; Pseudomonadati; Bacteroidota
Description: Bacteroidetes bacterium partial 16S ribosomal RNA
Rfam family: Bacterial small subunit ribosomal RNA
Source: RNAcentral
UGGGGAAUAUUGCGCAAUGGGGGAAACCCUGACGCAGCGACGCCGCGUGCGGGAUGAAGGCCUUCGGGUUGUAAACCGCUUCUGAUUGGGAGCAAGCUUUCGGGUGAGUGUACCUUUCGAAUAAGCGCCGGCUAACUACGUGCCAGCAGCCGCGGUAAUACGUAGGGCGCAAGCGUUAUCCGGAAUUAUUGGGCGUAAAGAGCUUGUAGGCGGUUCGUUGCGUCUGGUGUGAAAGCCCAUCGCUUACGGUGGGUUUGCGCCGGGUACGGACGGGCUGGAGUGCAGUAGGGGGGGCUGGAAUUCUCGGUGUAACGGUGGAAUGUGUAGAUAUCGGGAAGAACACCAAUGGCGAAGGCAGGUCUCUGGGCUGUUACUGACGCUGAGAAGCGAAAGCGUGGGGAGCGAACAGG